GGAGAUAUAGCUCAGUUGGUAGAGUGCUUGACUUGCAUGCACAAAGCCCUGGGUUCAAUUCCCAGCACCA
This 70-nucleotide transfer RNA is filed under the name Urocitellus parryii (Arctic ground squirrel). RNAcentral describes it as "Spermophilus parryii (Arctic ground squirrel) tRNA". It matches the Rfam family "tRNA". Rfam says of the family: Transfer RNA (tRNA) molecules are approximately 80 nucleotides in length. The record is from Rfam by way of RNAcentral. Lineage: Eukaryota; Metazoa; Chordata; Mammalia; Rodentia; Sciuridae. RNAcentral also lists the same sequence under 1 other name.